UGGGGAAUAUUGGACAAUGGACCAAGAGUCUGAUCCAGCAAUUCUGUGUGCACGAUGAAGUUUUUCGGAAUGUAAAGUGCUUUCAGUUGGGAAGAAAGAAAUGACGGUACCAACAGAAGAAGUGACGGCUAAAUACGUGCCAGCAGCCGCGGUAAUACGUAUGUCACGAGCGUUAUCCGGAUUUAUUGGGCGUAAAGCGCGUCUAGGUGGUUAUGUAAGUCUGAUGUGAAAAUGCAGGGCUCAACUCUGUAUUGCGUUGGAAACUGUAUAACUAGAGUACUGGAGAGGUAAGCGGAACUACAGGUGUAGAGGUGAAAUUCGUAGAUAUUUGUAGGAAUGCCGAUGGGGAAGCCAGCUUACUGGACAGAUACUGACGCUGAAGCGCGAAAGCGUGGGUAGCAAACAGGAUUAGAUACCCUGGUAGUCCACGCCGUAAACGAUGAUUACUAGGUGUUGGGGGUCGAACCUCAGCGCCCAAGCAAACGCGAUAAGUAAUCCGCCUGGGGAGUACGUACGCAAGUAUG
Molecule: ribosomal RNA, 524 nt
Filed under: uncultured bacterium
Lineage: Bacteria
Description: bacterial SSU rRNA
Rfam family: Bacterial small subunit ribosomal RNA
Source: RNAcentral